This 346-nucleotide ribosomal RNA is filed under the name uncultured Bacteroidota bacterium. RNAcentral's name for it is "bacterial SSU rRNA". It matches the Rfam family "Bacterial small subunit ribosomal RNA", at positions 342 to 685 of the family's 1533-position model. Lineage: Bacteria; Pseudomonadati; Bacteroidota. The record is from RNAcentral.
CGGGAGGCAGCAGUGAGGAAUAUUGGUCAAUGGACGAGAGUCUGAACCAGCCAAGUAGCGUGAAGGAUGAAGGUCCUACGGAUUGUAAACUUCUUUUAUAAGGGAAUAAACCCUCCCACGUGUGGGAGCUUGUAUGUACCUUAUGAAUAAGCAUCGGCUAACUCCGUGCCAGCAGCCGCGGUAAUACGGAGGAUGCGAGCGUUAUCCGGAUUUAUUGGGUUUAAAGGGAGCGCAGACGGGUCGUUAAGUCAGCUGUGAAAGUUUGGGGCUCAACCUUAAAAUUGCAGUUGAUACUGGCGUCCUUGAGUGCGGUUGAGGUGUGCGGAAUUCGUGGUGUAGCGGUGAA